UCAGGAUGAACGCUGGCGGCGUGCUUAACACAUGCAAGUCGAACGAAGCGAUUGGAAGGAAGUUUUCGGAUGGAAUUCUGAUUGACUGAGUGGCGGACGGGUGAGUAACGCGUGGGUAACCUGCCUCAUACAGGGGGAUAACAGUUAGAAAUGACUGCUAAUACCGCAUAAGCGCACAGGAUUGCAUGAUCCGGUGUGAAAAACUCCGGUGGUAUGAGAUGGACCCGCGUCUGAUUAGCUGGUUGGUGGGGUAACGGCCCACCAAGGCGACGAUCAGUAGCCGACCUGAGAGGGUGACCGGCCACAUUGGGACUGAGACACGGCCCAAACUCCUACGGGAGGCAGCAGUGGGGAAUAUUGCACAAUGGGGGAAACCCUGAUGCAGCAACGCCGCGUGAGUGAAGAAGUAUUUCGGUAUGUAAAGCUCUAUCAGCAGGGAAGAAAAUGACGGUACCUGAGUAAGAAGCCCCGGCUAACUACGUGCCAGCAGCCGCGGUAAUACGUAGGGGGCAAGCGUUA
This 519-nucleotide ribosomal RNA is filed under the name uncultured bacterium. RNAcentral describes it as "bacterial SSU rRNA". It matches the Rfam family "Bacterial small subunit ribosomal RNA", at positions 24 to 543 of the family's 1533-position model. The record is from RNAcentral.